This 207-nucleotide ribosomal RNA is filed under the name uncultured bacterium. RNAcentral's name for it is "partial 16S ribosomal RNA". It matches the Rfam family "Bacterial small subunit ribosomal RNA", at positions 568 to 774 of the family's 1533-position model. The record is from RNAcentral.
CGUGUAGGCGGCCAAGCAAGUCUAAGGUGAAAUCCCUCGGCUCAACCGAGGAAUUGCCUUUGAAACUGCUUAGCUUGAGGCUGGUAGAGGACAGCGGAAUUCCAGGUGUAGCGGUGAAAUGCGUAGAUAUCUGGAGGAACACCGGUGGCGAAGGCGGCUGUCUGGGCCAGUUCUGACGCUGGAGCGCGAAAGCGUGGGGAGCAAACA